GCGCCUGUAGCUCAGGGGUAGAGCACGUCACUGAUAAUGACGGGGUCCAUGGUUCAAAUCCAUGCAGGCGCAUCA
This 75-nucleotide transfer RNA is filed under the name Parcubacteria group bacterium RIFCSPHIGHO2_01_FULL_40_30. RNAcentral's name for it is "tRNA-Ile". It matches the Rfam family "tRNA". Rfam says of the family: Transfer RNA (tRNA) molecules are approximately 80 nucleotides in length. Their secondary structure includes four short double-helical elements and three loops (D, anti-codon, and T loops). The record is from RNAcentral. RNAcentral also lists the same sequence under 4 other names.